Oncorhynchus tshawytscha (Chinook salmon) is the source of this 2727-nucleotide long non-coding RNA. The record is from Ensembl. Lineage: Eukaryota; Metazoa; Chordata; Actinopteri; Salmoniformes; Salmonidae.
AGCCUGUGUUUCAGACAUAAGGAAGUGGAUGGCUACAAAGUUUCUACUUUUAAACUCUGACAAAACAGAGAUGCUUGUUCUAGGUCCCAAGAAACAAAGAGAUCUUCAGUUGAAUCUGACAAUUAAUCUUGAUGGUUGUUCAGUCGUCUCAAAUAAAACUGUGAAGGACCUCUGCGUUACUCUGGACCCUGAUCUCUCUUUUGACGAACAUAUCAAGACUAUUUCAAGGACAGUUUUUUUACAUCUACAUAACACUGCAAAAAUCUGACAUUUUCUGUCCAAAAAUGAUGCAGAAAAAUGUAUCCAUGCUUUUGUCACUUCUAGGUUAGACUACUCCAAUGCUCUACUUUCCGGCUAUCCGGAUAAAGUACUAAAUAAACAUCAGUUAGUGCUAAACACGGCUGCUAUAAUCCUGACUAGAACCAAUAAAUUUGAUCAUAUUACUCCCGUGCUAGCCUCCCUACACUGGCUUCCUGUUAAGGCAAGGGCUGAUUUCAAGGUUUUACUGCUAACCAACAAAGCAUUCCAUGGGCUUGCUCCUAUCUUUCCGAUUUGGUCCUGCCGUACAUACCUACACGUAUGCUACGGUCACAAGACGCAGGCCUCCUAAUUGUCCCUAGAAUUUCUAUACAAACAGCUGGAGGCAGGGCUUUUACCUAUAGAGCUCCAUUUUUAUGAAAUGGUCUGCCUACCCAUGUGAGAGACGCAGACUCUGUCUCAAACUUUAAGUCUUUAUUGAAGACUCAUCUCUUCAGUAGGUCCUAUGAUUGAGUCUGGCCCAGGAGUGUGAAUGUGAACGGAAAGGCACUGGAGCAACAAACCGCCCUUGCUCUCUCUGCCUGGCCGGUUCCCAAUCCCAACGGGGAUUCUCUGCCUCUAACCCUAUUACAGGGGCUGAGUUACUGGCUUACUGGUGCUCUUCCAUGCCAUCCCUAGGAGCGGUGUGUCACUUGAGUGGGUUGAGUCACUGACGUGGUCUUCCUGUCUGGGUUGGCGCCCUCCCCUUGGGUUGUGCCGUGGCGGAGAUCUUUGUGGGCUAUACUCGGCCUCGUCUCAGGAUGGACCUGAGCCCUAGGACCAUCUGGCAUGAUGACUCCUUGCUGUCCCCAGUCCACCUGGCCGUGCUGCUGCUCCAGUUUCAACUGUUUUGCCUGUGGCUAUGGAACCCUGACCUGUUCGCUGGACAUGCUACCUGUCCCAGACCUGCUGUUUUCAACUCUCUAGAGACAGGAGGAGCGGUAGAGAUACUCUCAAUGAUCGGCUAUGAAAAGCCAACUGACAUUUACUCCUGAGGUGCUGACCUGUUGCACCCUCGACAACUACUGUGAUUAUAAUUAUUUGACCAUGCUGGUCAUUUAUGAACAUUUGAACAUCCCUACCUUUCUAGGGAGUUUUUCCUAGCCACCGUGCUUCUACACCUGCAUUGCUUGCUGUUUGGGGUUUCAGGCUGGGUUUCCUUACAGCACUUUGAGAUAUCAGCUGAUGUAAGAAGGGUUAUAUAAAUACAUUUGAUUUGAUUUGAUGAUCGAUGGAAACAGGAUGCACCUGAGCUCAAUUUCGAUUCUCAUUGCAAAGGGUCUGAAUAAGGUAUUUCCAUUGUUUUGAUUUUUUAUAAAUUAGCAAAAUGUUCUAAAAACCUAUUUUUCUUUGUCAUUGUGGGAUAUUGUGUGUAGAUUGAUGAAUUAAAAAAUAUAUAUUUAAUACAUUUUAGAAUAAGGCUGUAAUGUAACAAAAUGUGGAAAAGGGUCAAGGGGUCUGAAUACUUUCCAAAAGGCACUGUAUACUGUAGCUAAGAAAGUAAGUGUAUGUUGUGUAGUAAGCUGUUAGUAACCCAUGUAUCUCACACUAAUAAUUUGGUCCAUGUCCUAGCUCGCUCAUUAAUGUCUUGAAAUGACGGAUUGCCUCUUAUCCGCUCGUCUUCCCCUUAUGCCAUUUCAACUGUCAGUAGAAACCACAUUUGUUUAAGCAAGUCAGCAAUAUCGCCCAUGUUUUUUUUAAGCAGUAAAUGAGGCUAAAUGAACUGUUUCACUGCCAGACAAGGCUCCACUGAUAACCUGGGGUAGCAGUGGUAAGGUUUUGGGACUGCUGUUGGGACUCUGCUGUUGAGACAGCUUUAUGUAGGCCCUAACAGAUUGUGGGCACCGUUUGUCACCGUUAUAGUGCAAUUAAUGUAUUGUUUAGUGUUGUGUUGUGGCAUUGCUGGCAGGCAUCCCACUAAUUUGUUUGGAGUUCGCCCCACCAAGAUUGACAUGCUAAAAUUGACACUGGAGGGUUUCCAGUCCCCAGUUCCUUUUAACAUUGUUUCAACUGACACACAAUGUGCCCCUCGUUUUACAGAUGCUGUCUCAAUGAAGACUGGACUUCUUUGCCGAUUAUCUCCCAUAGAAGUGAAGGCGUGUUCCAUUGGGAAUGACUGACAUCACACAUUUUCCUAAAAAGACAAAACCGGCCAGCAGGACCUAAAACUAUUCUGUCUGAAUAGAUUAUUGUAUGAUACAUUCAUAGUUUUUUUUUGUAACAAAGUGUAUAUUUUUGUACUGAAUCUGUUAAUACCUCGUGUUUAGCAAUUCAAAAAUGCCUUAAUGAUGACAGUCAAACUCAAGAACUCAGUGUUUGCAACAACAACAAACAAAUACAUUUGGUGCUGUGUCUGUCGGUGGUCUUUAAAGCAUACUUUCUGCCCAUUGAAACAAGACAAAAUGGGAAACUUCUGUUCUUUUAAUAAAA